RNAcentral lists this long non-coding RNA (6176 nucleotides) under Gallus gallus (chicken). RNAcentral describes it as "lncRNA (ENSGALG00010008942.1)". Lineage: Eukaryota; Metazoa; Chordata; Aves; Galliformes; Phasianidae. The record is from RNAcentral.
AAACAUUCAUCACUUCUGCUGGAGCAUAGCUCAUGGUACACAUUAGGAAAUUUCCAGUAGCUGCAAGAACAAUACAAACAGAAAUCAGUAAAGGUCUCUGUGUUACAAGUGCAUCUGAAGGACGCUCUGUGAGGCAACCCCCCAGGAGCUGCCAAAGCAGGUUUCUGUCAGAAGAUGAAAGUAAGCUUCUUCUCUGAAAAUGAACUGCUUUGUAGGAAAAAGGAAGCAAAAACAUUUUUCUUCCCAUCAGCUCAUUUCCUUCCUAAACUAACUCCAUCAUUUCCUAAGCCUACCUAGCACCUUUCUAUUUAAUAAGUUUAUCUGCAAAGUGCUUAAUUCUGCUGCUUCUCCAAUUCUCGGAGGUAGGCAAUCUAAGACUAUUUGCAAAUACCCUUUGAACUGAAGUGAUGAGAGACUGCAAUUAAUCAAAAGGUUGAAUCUAUAGAAAAGCCCUAUUAAAAUCUUGGGAACUGCUGAGGAGGUAAUGGCUAACUGUUCCCAAGGGGAUGAAAAAUAAUAAAGAAACAAAAACUAUUUAGGAAUCCUAUUAACAAAAUGUAUCAGACUGUAUAUGAAACUGUAUAAAAAGAUUUCAAAGCCAAAUGAGGCUUUGAGGAAAAAAAAAAACUUGGUAUUGUUUUGGUUUCUUUGUAUAAAUGCAUAGUCAGGCAUUCAUACUUCAACUGAAUGUGUGUCUUAUUUUCUGCCUGACCUCCAUCUCAUUCAGAAAGAUUGUCCCCAUAAAGUCAUUCUCCUGCCUUUCAGCAGGAUAGUUUUUAUCCUACUCUGUCAGUACCUUGAGAAAAGUACCCCUAAGGAAAUCAAUGAAAGAAAGGGCAACUGCUUGUAUUUUGGAGCACAGGGCUUAAAAUAUCUCCUCCGCCACUGUUUGCCAAUGCCACCAGCGAAGCAAGGAUAACAGCAGCUUCUUCCUGCCUUGUUCAGUGUGCAGGAUUGUUAUUUAGAAUUCAGUAUCUGCAGCAGCAGGGUGCUGACAUCCUCUGUCAUUUUCAGAUGUUGCAUGGAACAUAAGGAGCAGCCAGUGUGUUGGGGGAGGGCUAGGAGGGGGUGUGGUGUCAUGAGCCAUUGGGUUGGAGGGAGUCACGAAGAAACCUGUCCCAAGAAUGAGGAGCAACAAAGAGCUGGACAGAGGUACUAUUUCAACUCCUGCCUCCCACUUUUGAAAAGAGAGAAAGUAAGGAUUUAAGGACUUCCUAAACCACAUACGAGACAAAACAUACUGUGAAAAUGAAUCAUGUUUUCUUCUACCUCAUUAGACAAGGAGAUUUUCUUGGAAAGAAAUUCUUGAAAAUAUCAUUGCAGGAUAAUUGCUCUCAUGCACAGCUUUCUCUUUCAGUUGUCCAAAAUCCUGUGCAGGCUCUAUACCACUGUCUUGUUCAAAACUGUAUUUUCUUCUAACCUUAUUGUAACUUCUGCUUUUUACUUUCUAGGCUGUAACUGAAGUCUGAAAGCACUCAGCUGUUAUGGUGGGAUCUGUGUUAAACACACAAAAAAGAAAUCACUGCGAUCUCUCAAGACAGACUGAUUGAUAUCUUAGACUACCUGACAAAUAACACGUUGUCUCAAAGCAAGGCCUUUAAGAUCUUCUACUGAUAAUACUCAUGAUAAUUAAAGGCCAUGGCCACUGUGAUUAGCCUAGAUUCUUUCACACACAAAAAAAUAAAGCCAACUUCUACUGGCUUUUGGUCAGUUAGUACCUCAGUAAGCCAUAGUUCCAAAAGCCUUGUGUCAUGGUGGAAGCUGUCACCUCCCUCUGGGUGACAAUGAAGCACAGGCACAGUUCUACAUGACCUGAUUUGAUAUUACCAGGUGGUAACACACUAACAAAAUCCACAGGACAACUUGAUCUCACAGAUGCAUCUCUGCCUUGAUGGUAUAUAAAUUUAAAGUGAAGGGCAGCACUUCUUAAUUACUUACAUUGUUUAUUUUAAUGUAGCUUACAGCUUUCAUUUUUAAACCAGAAAUGGAAGGACAUAGUUUCUCUCAAGACAGCAGGUUUGUGUUUUUAAAAGAUUUUAAAUUAAUACAUGUAUUUACUCACUGUAGCAGAAAUGCUAAGUAAGUCACAGUCUGAACCAGUGACUGAGCACCCAGUGGGAAGGCAGGGCCAACACAGGGGAGCUCAGGUGCAUGCAAUGUACCUGAGUGAGCAGAAGGGGUGGAGCCAGGAUCCACCCCUUCCCAAACCUCAUUUAAGGGUUGGCAGUGGAGGUAGGGAUUUUUUGCUGGAGAUCCCUGCCUCCCAGAGGUCUUCUGAAGGUCUUCCUGAGAGAGUGGGCUCCAUUAUGUUCAGGAGCAGAAUGAAAAUGAAAUCAUCAUUAGUCGGAUUGAUUCGGUGUCUGAAUACACAUUGUACCAUGAGGAUCCUCUUACCCUGAGCCAAAGUCUGUCAAAGUCAAUUCCAACAGCUGAUGAGGCCCUUCAGGAUAGGUCAGUUUUUUCCUUGAAAUCCCAUCAUGGCAACUUCUGCAUUUGAUGAGUAUUACCAGCACAGAUAGACGCACCAUGGAGGGAAUCCCAGCCACACAGAAAAAAUAAAUAAUCAACUAAGACUAUUAUUGACCUGAAAACUGCCUGUCAUUCUGCUACUACAUAAUAGUCACAGAAUACACAUUUCAAAGCCACGGUUUAACAGAAAUACUUAAAACCUGACAACUUAUGAUGAUUCAACAAGAUGAGAAAAAGACAAGGGCUCAAUCUCCAAACCCUGAUCAGUGGGUGAGCAUUUCAUAAGCCUGAGCAAACAGGAGAGAUCAUUGCGAAGAAGUGCUUGAGUUGAUUUGCAUUGCUCUCAAUUAGGGAAGGUAGUCCAGCCAACCACUACUCCAGCAUUACUGACAAGGACAACAAUUUGAUUUCUAGAAGCACUACCUGACUGAAAGAUUCUGUGAUUAGGAACUGCCACUCCUUUUGGACACAAAAGGGGAAUCUUCACCUUGAAGUUCUGGGAUGCAGGUGGACUUGCUAGAUUCUUUCAGGGUCCAGUUCACUACAGUGUCAUCACUGACUUGCUGAGCAUCACCCAGGUCCUUGAAGACAUUCAGCAUGUACCUGAACAGUGGCAGAGAAAACAAGAUUUGGCUCAGAUCCUGGGCUAAGACCCAGCAAGCACACAGCCUGGAGGGAACAUGAACUCAUAGCAACACGCAAAGUCUUCAUGUAGUCUCAGCUCUGCUUUUUUUUUUUUUUUUUAAUUAUUUUAUUUUUCACCCCUUCAGCAAAAAGGAAGAGCCAUCUAUUGUAUCUGUAGUGCAAUUUCUGUUAAAUCAUUUAACCUCUAAUUCCUCUCACUUCGUUUCAUAUUCAGACAUUACUAGUGGACUGGAAAUUAUUCAGCCUGUAAAUACCAAGUUAAAAUAGAAAGAAUAACACUGCUUCUCCCUUGUUUGAGGGGAUUGCACUGGUUGUGCAAAUGCAGGGUGUGGAAAACACUGCCUAGUGGAUGAACUAGGGAGUAUUCUAGGUUACAUGACACUUAUUACUUUGCACAAGAAACUGGUAUUAGGCAGAGAGAAUGGCGUUGAAUCCUCUUGUUGAAGGAAAUAUUGGAUGACUUUAGCUUUGAAGAGCUUUCUUCCCUUGGCUGUAAGUGAGCGAACUAGAAAAAGCCACAGUAAAUCUUUCUAUUGCUGGGGAACAAAUGAGAAACUGUACUACAGAGAGUAUGGAAAAAGAAAAGCAAGCCCUUAUGACCUUAAGAACAUAAUAAAGAUGGUCAGGCCAGAGGAAGUCUGGGCAAAAACAAGGGACUGUGGAAGUUGCCUGUCAUGAUGACUAGUGGGAAGUAGAACAUGCACGAAGAAAAUGAGACAAUAGCUGGAAAUAUGUAGACACUGCUAAGACUAACCUUGAGCCACAUCCUUAUUUAGGGACUAACAACAAUUGAUGUUUAAUAUUCUAGUCCAAUGGCAAUGUUUUCCCUUAUCUUAGAGAAUCUGUUAUUCAUUUGUUUGAAUGCAUGUAAGCAUACAAACCUAAAGACAGGAUUGGGUUUAGCCUCGAGGCUUCUUCACAAGUAUAUGUUCUCAACAGACAGCAAAUGCUAAAGCUAGAAUUGUUUCAGAGUCUGCUUUGACACUUUCCACAUGACUCUUCUAGCAUGUUCCAGUCAUCAAACAACAUAUACAACCUUCAGUCAUCUUCUAAGUGACCUAUUUAGGAGCAAUUUCAGCAUGAAUAUAAAUUCAGUGAAAAUGUAAAUAUGCAUUCAACAGUUGCUGGAUGAAAUGGUGGGUGGUGAGAAGAAAGGGAGUUUCCAUCUGUCUAGCCUUACAGGGUGAGUGUAUUUUCACUUUGCAAGUGCUUUCUACUCAACAUAUAUGUGAUAUAUGAGAAGACCAAGAUGUGCUGUACUUGGGUAUAUGGAGAUAAAAAGAAACAUCCCUCAGUUGUAAGAUGUAUGUAGCUAUGAACUAAUACCUCUUUUUUGCUGUUUAAUGCGCUGUUAAAAACAACACUAGCUGCCUCCCUUACAUUCAGCCAAGAUCCUGUUGUGCUCAGAGCUCUCUGCUGACUUAAAUUUUGAGUUGCUCUGACUUAAUCUGAAUUUCACUAGAAGUAUAUUAGAAAAAGUGUUUUUGUCGUCUUUGAGUAUCUGGAGAAAUAUAACCCUAGCAAGAGUCGUCCUGGUAUCCAGAACAGUGUAACAGGAUGUGGUGUCUAACACGCAGGGCUGUACAUGAGCAUCAGCGCUCAAAAUCUUGCCAAGAAUUUAGUUUUCUAGAUGCCAGUCCAAUAUUAGCCAACACAAAACUUGACAGUGGAAAAGAGACAAGCAAAGCUGUUCAUUCAUUACAGAAUAGCUUAGGCCAGGUAAAGCUGGGAAAAAUAUAAAAUGUAAAAUAAUAAAAAAAUUGCAGUGGCAGGUGUGUCAAUUAGGAGCUAAUUAUCUUCUGUUAGUAAGUGAUAUACAGAUGUUCUGAGCCUUACAAAAAGAAACAGAAAUUCCAGAGGUGACAGCAUUUUGACUUUGUUGAAGAAUCUCUGUGUUGAAAAAUCUACUGUCUGUUGUAGUUAAGUCUAUUAGUUUCAUUUGUGGGCUUUUUUUUUUCUUUUUUUUUUUUUUUCCUUUUAUUCUUUUUUUUUUUCCUUUUUGGAGAGGAGGGCUAGGGAAGACAAUGAGAUAGUACUGUGUCAUCAUAGGAAAACAUAUGAGGUUGAACUCAUUUUGUGAACUACCUUCUAUUAUCCAGUUUUAAAUAACCCACUUUAUCCUUUGGGGUGGUGAAUAUCAUUUCCCAGAAAACAAAACAAGCUCACUAGUGGAUGUGGUCUGUCUAAAACUAAUCUUACUGAAGAAGAAAAAUGUAAGAAAUAAUACCCGUCAUCACCAGCAUCUAAGAUCACAUCAAGAAAUGCAAUUUUGGAGGAUCUUUUUGAUUGGAUGCUUUUGUUUUCCCUUUUUGAAUGCAUGUAUUUUCAUGCAGAGUCAGCAAAAACACCAGUACAGACUGAGGAACCAGGCAACUGGGAAUGAGCACUGUGGAUUUGGAGAGGACCUCCAGCCCUUUGAUGUUACAAAUGUCCAUGCCAAAACAAUUUUUGUAGUGAUAUUAAGCCCCUUGUGAACGCAGCUGUGUGGGGUUAUCUUCAUGGCUCUCCUGGAAAGCUAUUCUGGAACCUCAGUCCCAGAACUUAGACUUUGGAAUAUCCAAGUGGAACUCAUUUCUGAGUGGUUAGUGCCCAUUGUUUUGUUAUCUGUACAGACUAGUAGCUUUAACAGUGUUCUUCAUUUGCUGUAGUUACUAUUCAUCAAUGUUCACAAAGUAAAAUCCUAUCCCACUCUCGCCUCCUUUUUGUUCAGCAAAUAUGUUGUAUUCUUUUUUUUUCUCUUCGAUAGCCUGCAGGCAUGUAAAACAUUAGGCAAAAAUAUAGAAAAAGUACUGAGAAAGAAAAUCAACAACAGGUGUGUAAAAGUAGAGGUUUGGAAGCACUUACUGCAAAGGAAAUGAGAGGGGAAAAGAGGAAAGGAAAGGAAACAAAAAUACCUGUAACUUUGGACAGAGCAGUAUUAAGCAGUAUUGUACAGCUGACAAACUCAAGCAAAUCUACUGUGUAAGACUGCUCACCUUGAUUUCUUUGAUAACUAUACUGAAAAAUGAAGGCAUUAAAUGAUGUAUAAAUCAUUCUUCUUACCAUUGUUAGACAAAGGGUUG